CCGGCACGAGCGCACCCACAUCCUUAGUUGCCAGCAGGUUAAGCUGGGCACUCUAGGGAAACUGCCCGUGAUAAGCGGGAGGAAGGUGUGGAUGACGUCAAGUCCUCAUGGCCCUUACGGGUUGGGCUACACACGUGCUACAAUGGCAGUGACAAUGGGUUAAUCCCAAAAAACUGUCUCAGUUCGGAUUGGGGUCUGCAACUCGACCCCAUGAAGUCGGAAUCGCUAGUAAUCGCGUAACAGCAUGACGCGGUGAAUACGUUCCCGGGCCUU
Molecule: ribosomal RNA, 273 nt
Filed under: alpha proteobacterium enrichment culture clone otu_A3
Lineage: Bacteria; Pseudomonadati; Pseudomonadota; Alphaproteobacteria
Description: partial 16S ribosomal RNA
Rfam family: Bacterial small subunit ribosomal RNA
Source: RNAcentral